RNAcentral lists this ribosomal RNA (530 nucleotides) under uncultured bacterium. RNAcentral describes it as "partial 16S ribosomal RNA". It matches the Rfam family "Bacterial small subunit ribosomal RNA", at positions 28 to 523 of the family's 1533-position model. The record is from RNAcentral.
GACGAACGCUGGCGGCGUGCCUAAUACAUGCAAGUCGAACGAACUCUGGUAUUGAUUGGUGCUUGCAUCAUGAUUUACAUUUGAGUGAGUGGCGAACUGGUGAGUAACACGUGGGAAACCUGCCCAGAAGCGGGGGAUAACACCUGGAAACAGAUGCUAAUACCGCAUAACAACUUGGACCGCAUGGUCCGAGCUUGAAAGAUGGCUUCGGCUAUCACUUUUGGAUGGUCCCACGGCGUAUUAGCUAGAUGGUGGGGUAAUGGCUCACCAUGGAAAUGAUACGUAGCCGACCUGAGAGGGUAAACGGCCACAUUGGGACUGAGACACGGCCCAAACUCCUACGGGAGGCAGCAGUAGGGAAUCUUCCACAAUGGACGAAAGUCUGAUGGAGCAACGCCGCGUGAGUGAAGAAGGGUUUCGGCUCGUAAAACUCUGUUGUUAAAGAAGAACAUAUCUGAGAGUAACUGUUCAGGUAUUGACGGUAUUUAACCAGAAAGCCACGGCUAACUACGUGCCAGCCGCCGCCGUAA